This 253-nucleotide ribosomal RNA is filed under the name uncultured bacterium. RNAcentral's name for it is "partial 16S ribosomal RNA". It matches the Rfam family "Bacterial small subunit ribosomal RNA", at positions 524 to 776 of the family's 1533-position model. The record is from RNAcentral.
GACAGAGGUGCCGAGCGUUAGGCGGAAUCACUGGGCUUAAAGCGUGUGUAGGCGGACUUCUAAGUACCUUGUGAAAUCCCACGGCUCAACCGUGGAACUGCUUGGUAUACUGGUUGUCUUGAGCCACUUAGGGGCAGUCGGAACAGACGGUGGAGCGGUGAAAUGCGUAGAUAUCGUCUGGAACGCCAAAGGUGAAAACAGACAGCUGGGAGUGUGCUGACGCUGAGACACGAAAGCCAGGGGAGCGAACGGG